CAAUAGCGUAUAUUUAAGUUGUUGCAGUUAAAAAGCUCGUAGUUGGAUUUCGGGUUGGCUUCAGCGGUCUCGCUUUGCGUUUGUACUGCCGCAGCCUUCCUUCUUGCUGGGGACGGUCCUCCGGGCUUCAUUGCUUGGGGUCUGGAAUCAGCGACGUUACUUUGAGUAAAUUAGAGUGUUCAAAGCAAGCCUACGAUCUGAAUAUAAUAGCAUGGGAUAACACGACAGGACUCUGGCCUAUCGUGUUGGUCUGUAGGACCAGAGUAAUGAUUAAGAGGGACAGUCGGGGGCAUUCGUAUUCCGUUGUCAGAGGUGAAAUUCUUGGAUUUACGGAAGACGAACAUCUGCGAAAGCAUUUGCCAAGGAUGUUUUCAUUGA
Molecule: ribosomal RNA, 378 nt
Filed under: uncultured eukaryote
Lineage: Eukaryota
Description: partial 18S ribosomal RNA
Rfam family: Eukaryotic small subunit ribosomal RNA
Source: RNAcentral